This 370-nucleotide ribosomal RNA is filed under the name uncultured bacterium. Its description in RNAcentral is "bacterial SSU rRNA". It matches the Rfam family "Bacterial small subunit ribosomal RNA", at positions 527 to 896 of the family's 1533-position model. The record is from RNAcentral.
GGAGGGUGCAAGCGUUAAUCGGAAUUACUGGGCGCAAAGCGCACGCAGGCGGUUGGAUAAGUUAGAUGUGAAAGCCCCGGGCUCAACCUGGGAAUUGCAUUUAAAACUGUCCAGCUAGAGUCUUGUAGAGGGGGGUAGAAUUCCAGGUGUAGCGGUGAAAUGCGUAGAGAUCUGGAGGAAUACCGGUGGCGAAGGCGGCCCCCUGGACAAAGACUGACGCUCAGGUGCGAAAGCGUGGGGAGCAAACAGGAUUAGAUACCCUGGUAGUCCACGCCGUAAACGAUGUCGAUUUGGAGGCUGUGUCCUUGAGACGUGGCUUCCGGAGCUAACGCGUUAAAUCGACCGCCUGGGGAGUACGGCCGCAAGGUUA